CCUACGGGCGGCAGCAGUGAGGAAUAUUGGUCAAUGGACGAGAGUCUGAACCAGCCAAGUAGCGUGAAGGAUGACUGCCCUAUGGGUUGUAAACUUCUUUUAUAUGGGAAUAAAAUGUUCCACGUGUAGGAUUUUGUAUGUACCAUAUGAAUAAGGAUCGGCUAACUCCGUGCCAGCAGCCGCGGUAAUACGGAGGAUCCGAGCGUUAUCCGGAUUUAUUGGGUUUAAAGGGAGCGUAGGUGGAUUGUUAAGUCAGUUGUGAAAGUUUGCGGCUCAACCGUAAAAUUGCAGUUGAAACUGGCAGUCUUGAGUACAGUAGAGGUGGGCGGAAUUCGUGGUGUAGCGGUGAAAUGCUUAGAUAUGACGAAGAACACCGAUUGCGAAGGCAGUUCACUGGACUGCAACUGACACUGAGGCUCGAAAGUGUGGGUAUCAAACAGGAUUAGAUACCCCUGUAGUC
RNAcentral lists this ribosomal RNA (460 nucleotides) under uncultured bacterium. RNAcentral's name for it is "partial 16S ribosomal RNA". It matches the Rfam family "Bacterial small subunit ribosomal RNA", at positions 338 to 795 of the family's 1533-position model. The record is from RNAcentral.